RNAcentral lists this ribosomal RNA (825 nucleotides) under Rhodococcus pyridinivorans KG-16. Its description in RNAcentral is "bacterial LSU rRNA". It matches the Rfam family "Bacterial large subunit ribosomal RNA", at positions 402 to 1213 of the family's 2925-position model. The record is from RNAcentral. Lineage: Bacteria; Bacillati; Actinomycetota; Actinomycetes; Mycobacteriales; Nocardiaceae.
GAAUACCCGAGUAGCACCGGGCCCGUGAAAUCCGGUGUGAAUCUGUCGGGACCACCCGAUAAGCCUGAAUACUCCCUGGUGACCGAUAGCGGACUAGUACCGUGAGGGAAAGGUGAAAAGUACCCCGGGAGGGGAGUGAAAUAGUACCUGAAACCGUGCGCUUACAAUCCGUCAGAGCCUUCGAGCAGCUUGCUGCUGGGGGUGAUGGCGUGCCUUUUGAAGAAUGAGCCUGCGAGUUAGUGGCAUGUCGCGAGGUUAACCCGUGUGGGGUAGUCGUAGCGAAAGCGAGUCCGAAUAGGGCGUGUGUAGUGGCAUGUUCUAGACCCGAAGCGGAGUGAUCUACCCAUGGCCAGGGUGAAGCGAUGGUAAGACGUCGUGGAGGCCCGAACCCACUUAGGUUGAAAACUGAGGGGAUGAGUUGUGGGUAGGGGUGAAAGGCCAAUCAAACUCCGUGAUAGCUGGUUCUCCCCGAAAUGCAUUUAGGUGCAGCGUCGCGUGUUUCUCACCGGAGGUAGAGCUACUGGAUGGUCUAGGGGGCCCACAAGCUUACCGAAAUCAGCCAAACUCCGAAUGCCGGUGAGUGAGAGCGCGGCAGUGAGACUGCGGGGGAUAAGCUUCGUAGUCGAGAGGGAAACAGCCCAGAUCGCCGGCUAAGGCCCCUAAGCGUGUACUAAGUGGAAAAGGAUGUGGGAUCGCUGAGACAACCAGGAGGUUGGCUUAGAAGCAGCCACCCUUGAAAGAGUGCGUAAUAGCUCACUGGUCAAGUGGUUCUGCGCCGACAAUGUAGCGGGGCUCAAGUACACCGCCGAAGCCGCGGCACUCACA